Molecule: ribosomal RNA, 686 nt
Filed under: uncultured bacterium
Lineage: Bacteria
Description: bacterial SSU rRNA
Rfam family: Bacterial small subunit ribosomal RNA
Source: RNAcentral
CGACUUGGAGGUUGUUCCCUUGAGGAGUGGCUUCCGGAGCUAACGCGUUAAGUCGACCGCCUGGGGAGUACGGCCGCAAGGUUAAAACUCAAAUGAAUUGACGGGGGCCCGCACAAGCGGUGGAGCAUGUGGUUUAAUUCGAUGCAACGCGAAGAACCUUACCUACUCUUGACAUCCAGAGAACUUUCCAGAGAUGGAUUGGUGCCUCCGGGAACUCUGAGACAGGUGCUGCAUGGCUGUCGUCAGCUCGUGUUGUGAAAUGUUGGGUUAAGUUCCGCAACGAGCGCAACCCUUUUCCUUUGUUGCCAGCGAUUCGGUCGGGAACUCAAAGGAGACUGCCGGUGAUAAACCGGAGGAAGGUGGGGAUGACGUCAAGUCAUCAUGGCCCUUACGAGUAGGGCUACACACGUGCUACAAUGGCGCAUACAAAGAGAAGCGACCUCGCGAGGGCAAGCGGACCUCACAAAGUGCGUCGUAGUCCGGAUCGGAGUCUGCAACUCGACUCCGUGAAGUCGGAAUCGCUAGUAAUCGUGGAUCAGAAUGCCACGGUGAAUACGUUCCCGGGCCUUGUACACACCGCCCGUCACACCAUGGGAGUGGGUUGCAAAAGAAGUAGGUAGCUUAACCUUCGGAGGGCGCUUGCCACUUUGUGAUUCAUGACUGGGGUGAAGUCGUAACAAGGUACC